Molecule: ribosomal RNA, 762 nt
Filed under: Acinetobacter sp. INBio2893A
Lineage: Bacteria; Pseudomonadati; Pseudomonadota; Gammaproteobacteria; Moraxellales; Moraxellaceae
Description: bacterial SSU rRNA
Rfam family: Bacterial small subunit ribosomal RNA
Source: RNAcentral
GCAGGCUUAACACAUGCAAGUCGAGCGGAGAGAGGUAGCUUGCUACUGAUCUUAGCGGCGGACGGGUGAGUAAUGCUUAGGAAUCUGCCUAUUAGUGGGGGACAACAUUUCGAAAGGAAUGCUAAUACCGCAUACGUCCUACGGGAGAAAGCAGGGGAUCUUCGGACCUUGCGCUAAUAGAUGAGCCUAAGUCGGAUUAGCUAGUUGGUGGGGUAAAGGCCUACCAAGGCGACGAUCUGUAGCGGGUCUGAGAGGAUGAUCCGCCACACUGGGACUGAGACACGGCCCAGACUCCUACGGGAGGCAGCAGUGGGGAAUAUUGGACAAUGGGCGCAAGCCUGAUCCAGCCAUGCCGCGUGUGUGAAGAAGGCCUUAUGGUUGUAAAGCACUUUAAGCGAGGAGGAGGCUACUUUAGAUAAUACCUAGAGAUAGUGGACGUUACUCGCAGAAUAAGCACCGGCUAACUCUGUGCCAGCAGCCGCGGUAAUACAGAGGGUGCAAGCGUUAAUCGGAUUUACUGGGCGUAAAGCGCGCGUAGGCGGCUAAUUAAGUCAAAUGUGAAAUCCCCGAGCUUAACUUGGGAAUUGCAUUCGAUACUGGUUAGCUAGAGUGUGGGAGAGGAUGGUAGAAUUCCAGGUGUAGCGGUGAAAUGCGUAGAGAUCUGGAGGAAUACCGAUGGCGAAGGCAGCCAUCUGGCCUAACACUGACGCUGAGGUGCGAAAGCAUGGGGAGCAAACAGGAUUAGAUACCCUGGUAGUCCAU